UUAAGCGACUAAGCGUACACGGUGGAUGCCCUGGCAGUCAGAGGCGAUGAAGGACGUGCUAAUCUGCGAUAAGCGUCGGUGAGGUGAUAUGAACCGUUAUAACCGGCGAUUUCCGAAUGGGGAAACCCAGUGUGUUUCGACACACUAUCAUUAACUGAAUCCAUAGGUUAAUGAGGCGAACCGGGGGAACUGAAACAUCUAAGUACCCCGAGGAAAAGAAAUCAACCGAGAUUCCCCCAGUAGCGGCGAGCGAACGGGGAGGAGCCCAGAGCCUGAAUCAGUGUGUGUGUUAGUGGAAGCGUCUGGAAAGGCGCGCGAUACAGGGUGACAGCCCCGUACACAAAAAUGCACAUAUUGUGAGCUCGAUGAGUAGGGCGGGACACGUGGUAUCCUGUCUGAAUAUGGGGGGACCAUCCUCCAAGGCUAAAUACUCCUGACUGACCGAUAGUGAACCAGUACCGUGAGGGAAAGGCGAAAAGAACCCCGGCGAGGGGAGUGAAAAAGAACCUGAAACCGUGUACGUACAAGCAGUGGGAGCCUCUUAAUGGGGUGACUGCGUACCUUUUGUAUAAUGGGUCAGCGACUUAUAUUCUGUAGCAAGGUUAACCGAAUAGGGGAGCCGAAGGGAAACCGAGUCUUAACUGGGCGUUAAGUUGCAGGGUAUAGACCCGAAACCCGGUGAUCUAGCCAUGGGCAGGUUGAAGGUUGGGUAACACUAACUGGAGGACCGAACCGACUAAUGUUGAAAAAUUAGCGGAUGACUUGUGGCUGGGGGUGAAAGGCCAAUCAAACCGGGAGAUAGCUGGUUCUCCCCGAAAGCUAUUUAGGUAGCGCCUCGUGAAUUCAUCUCCGGGGGUAGAGCACUGUUUCGGCAAGGGGGUCAUCCCGACUUACCAACCCGAUGCAAACUGCGAAUACCGGAGAAUGUUAUCACGGGAGACACACGGCGGGUGCUAACGUCCGUCGUGAAGAGGGAAACAACCCAGACCGCCAGCUAAGGUCCCAAAGUCAUGGUUAAGUGGGAAACGAUGUGGGAAGGCCCAGACAGCCAGGAUGUUGGCUUAGAAGCAGCCAUCAUUUAAAGAAAGCGUAAUAGCUCACUGGUCGAGUCGGCCUGCGCGGAAGAUGUAACGGGGCUAAACCAUGCACCGAAGCUGCGGCAGCGACACUAUGUGUUGUUGGGUAGGGGAGCGUUCUGUAAGCCUGUGAAGGUGUACUGUGAGGUAUGCUGGAGGUAUCAGAAGUGCGAAUGCUGACAUAAGUAACGAUAAAGCGGGUGAAAAGCCCGCUCGCCGGAAGACCAAGGGUUCCUGUCCAACGUUAAUCGGGGCAGGGUGAGUCGACCCCUAAGGCGAGGCCGAAAGGCGUAGUCGAUGGGAAACAGGUUAAUAUUCCUGUACUUGGUGUUACUGCGAAGGGGGGACGGAGAAGGCUAUGUUGGCCGGGCGACGGUUGUCCCGGUUUAAGCGUGUAGGCUGGUUUUCCAGGCAAAUCCGGAAAAUCAAGGCUGAGGCGUGAUGACGAGGCACUACGGUGCUGAAGCGACAAAUGCCCUGCUUCCAGGAAAAGCCUCUAAGCAUCAGGUAACAUCAAAUCGUACCCCAAACCGACACAGGUGGUCAGGUAGAGAAUACCAAGGCGCUUGAGAGAACUCGGGUGAAGGAACUAGGCAAAAUGGUGCCGUAACUUCGGGAGAAGGCACGCUGAUAUGUAGGUGAAGCGACUUGCUCGUGGAGCUGAAAUCAGUCGAAGAUACCAGCUGGCUGCAACUGUUUAUUAAAAACACAGCACUGUGCAAACACGAAAGUGGACGUAUACGGUGUGACGCCUGCCCGGUGCCGGAAGGUUAAUUGAUGGGGUUAGCGGUAACGCGAAGCUCUUGAUCGAAGCCCCGGUAAACGGCGGCCGUAACUAUAACGGUCCUAAGGUAGCGAAAUUCCUUGUCGGGUAAGUUCCGACCUGCACGAAUGGCGUAAUGAUGGCCAGGCUGUCUCCACCCGAGACUCAGUGAAAUUGAACUCGCUGUGAAGAUGCAGUGUACCCGCGGCAAGACGGAAAGACCCCGUGAACCUUUACUAUAGCUUGACACUGAACAUUGAGCCUUGAUGUGUAGGAUAGGUGGGAGGCUUUGAAGUGUGGACGCCAGUCUGCAUGGAGCCGACCUUGAAAUACCACCCUUUAAUGUUUGAUGUUCUAACGUGGGCCCCUUACCGGGGUUGCGGACAGUGUCUGGUGGGUAGUUUGACUGGGGCGGUCUCCUCCUAAAGAGUAACGGAGGAGCACGAAGGUUGGCUAAUCCUGGUCGGACAUCAGGAGGUUAGUGCAAUGGCAUAAGCCAGCUUGACUGCGAGCGUGACGGCGCGAGCAGGUGCGAAAGCAGGUCAUAGUGAUCCGGUGGUUCUGAAUGGAAGGGCCAUCGCUCAACGGAUAAAAGGUACUCCGGGGAUAACAGGCUGAUACCGCCCAAGAGUUCAUAUCGACGGCGGUGUUUGGCACCUCGAUGUCGGCUCAUCACAUCCUGGGGCUGAAGUAGGUCCCAAGGGUAUGGCUGUUCGCCAUUUAAAGUGGUACGCGAGCUGGGUUUAGAACGUCGUGAGACAGUUCGGUCCCUAUCUGCCGUGGGCGCUGGAGAACUGAGGGGGGCUGCUCCUAGUACGAGAGGACCGGAGUGGACGCAUCACUGGUGUUCGGGUUGUCAUGCCAAUGGCACUGCCCGGUAGCUAAAUGCGGAAGAGAUAAGUGCUGAAAGCAUCUAAGCACGAAACUUGCCCCGAGAUGAGUUCUCCCUGACUCCUUGAGAGUCCUGAAGGAACGUUGAAGACGACGACGUU
This 2831-nucleotide ribosomal RNA is filed under the name Escherichia coli. RNAcentral describes it as "23S ribosomal RNA". It matches the Rfam family "Bacterial large subunit ribosomal RNA". The record is from RNAcentral. Lineage: Bacteria; Pseudomonadati; Pseudomonadota; Gammaproteobacteria; Enterobacterales; Enterobacteriaceae.